Long non-coding RNA from Artibeus jamaicensis (Jamaican fruit-eating bat), 198 nucleotides. RefSeq lists it as uncharacterized. Lineage: Eukaryota; Metazoa; Chordata; Mammalia; Chiroptera; Phyllostomidae. The record is from RefSeq and is a predicted model, not a curated record. The transcript is spliced from 3 exons.
CUGCUGUGUCCACCCUUCUUCAGUACCCGACAACUGAACCUAGGCUCAGAAGGAAAAGCAGACAAACCACACAGUUCCGGUGUAUAUCCAUAGGCUUUCUAUAUCAGAAUUUUCUAUUCGGAGACUGACCUGAAUGGACCCCUGUCAAUGGGAUCCCUUGGCCAUUGUGGGUCACUGGCAGAAGAUUUGAAGUUGGAG